RNAcentral lists this ribosomal RNA (507 nucleotides) under Phoebe puwenensis. RNAcentral describes it as "eukaryotic LSU rRNA". The stretch from base 5 to 160 matches the Rfam family "5.8S ribosomal RNA". Lineage: Eukaryota; Viridiplantae; Streptophyta; Magnoliopsida; Laurales; Lauraceae. The record is from RNAcentral.
AGACGACUCUCGGCAACGGAUAUCUCGGCUCUCGCAUCGAUGAAGAACGUAGCGAAAUGCGAUACUUGGUGUGAAUUGCAGAAUCCCGUGAACCAUCGAGUCUUUGAACGCAAGUUGCGCCCGAGGCCACUCGGCCGAGGGCACGCCUGCCUGGGCGUCACGCCACCCAUCGCCCCCCGCCGCGGCAUUCCCAUGCCCCGCCGGGGAGCGGAGACUGGCCGUCCGUGCCCGAGCCCUCGGCGCGCGGUCGGCAGAAAAGGAGGACACCGUGCGGCGCGACACGGCGUGUGGGGGUUGAGAGGCGGCUCGUCGCCGAUCGUACGUCGCGCCCGCAUUCCGCCGCGCGCAGUGUCACCCGUGGGACCGGACUCGCCCGCAGCCGCGGGCGCUCGGACCGCGACCCCAGGUCAGGCGUGGCCACCCGCUGAAUUUAAGCAUAUCAAUAAGCGGAGGAGAAGAAACUUACGAGGAUUCCCCUAGUAACGGCGAGCGAACCGGGAGCAGCCC